AAAAUUUGUAUCGUACAAAAGUAACAUUAAUUGCUCGUGAAAAUUUCUCUGGAGCAUUAUGAAACUAAAUCGUCACAUGUUUUCUAAACUGUCAACAAAAAACAAGAAAUCAAGGAAAAGUGGUGAUGUAUGAUUAAGGUGACAAUCAGAAUGAUGGUCUGCGCGGUGGUCAAUCCUGGCCACAGCCUCGACACUUGUCCAGAAAGGCCAAUCAGGGCACAAUUAACGA
Long non-coding RNA from Drosophila elegans, 229 nucleotides. RefSeq lists it as uncharacterized. The record is from RefSeq and is a predicted model, not a curated record. The transcript is spliced from 3 exons. NCBI's taxonomy places the organism in Eukaryota, Metazoa, Arthropoda, Insecta, Diptera, Drosophilidae.